UGGGGAAUAUUGCGCAAUGGACGAAAGUCUGACGCAGCAACGCCGCGUGAGGGAUGACGGCCUUCGGGUUGUAAACCUCUUUUGGCAGGGAAGAAGCGAAAGUGACGGUACCUGCAGAAAAAGCACCGGCUAACUACGUGCCAGCAGCCGCGGUAAUACGUAGGGUGCAAGCGUUGUCCGGAAUUAUUGGGCGUAAAGAGCUCGUAGGCGGUUUGUCGCGUCUGCUGUGAAAACCCGAGGCUCAACCUCGGGCCUGCAGUGGGUACGGGCAGACUAGAGUGCGGUAGGGGAGAUUGGAAUUCCUGGUGUAGCGGUGGAAUGCGCAGAUAUCAGGAGGAACACCGAUGGCGAAGGCAGAUCUCUGGGCCGUAACUGACGCUGAGGAGCGAAAGCAUGGGGAGCGAAC
RNAcentral lists this ribosomal RNA (406 nucleotides) under uncultured bacterium. Its description in RNAcentral is "bacterial SSU rRNA". It matches the Rfam family "Bacterial small subunit ribosomal RNA", at positions 355 to 773 of the family's 1533-position model. The record is from RNAcentral.